Schistosoma mansoni is the source of this 45-nucleotide non-coding RNA. The record is from Rfam. Lineage: Eukaryota; Metazoa; Platyhelminthes; Trematoda; Strigeidida; Schistosomatidae.
AUUCAGCUGACGAGUCCCAAAUAGGACGGAAUACGUGUCUUGGAU